CGCAGGGUGGAGCAGAUAGUAGCUCAUUGGUCUCUUUAGCCAAAGGUCGAUGGUGCAAGUCCAUCCCCUGCAACCA
RNAcentral lists this transfer RNA (76 nucleotides) under Candidatus Coprosoma intestinipullorum. RNAcentral describes it as "tRNA-Lys". Lineage: Bacteria; Bacillati; Bacillota. The record is from RNAcentral.